AUGUAUCGAAAUCUGAUCUCGAGCUCCUGGAUAAUCCACUGGAUGGAGUCAAAGACAGACGUCCUAGCCCAAUCCUCAGCAUGCCCACAGAUCAAUUUGAAUUGCUUGUCGGCCUUUGCAACUAUAUCAUGUCCAUUGAUGAUGCCAAGUGUUUGCAAAUGGGACCGAAGCUCGACACCCCAUCCAAUGGGCUUAAGUCUCAAAAAAAUUCAAAGCAUACUUAACAUGAAGCAGUCUAUGGACAAUGAUUUUUCAACAUUGCUGUGCGUAUUCUGGCAUGUGACGAGGGAGUAUUGUUCACAGACCAUCCAAUACACUACAUGGAUCUACAAUUUUGUUCCAUGCUGUGGGAUUCAACACGAGAUCAAAAGUUUUUGCGAUAAGGAAACUAUUCAGAAGUUGGCAACUUUGUUUGAUAGCUGGCAUGGGAUAGACAACAACAUAUAUUAUCGUGCAACAUGGUAA
This 465-nucleotide ribosomal RNA is filed under the name Triticum aestivum (bread wheat). RNAcentral's name for it is "partial small subunit ribosomal RNA". Lineage: Eukaryota; Viridiplantae; Streptophyta; Magnoliopsida; Poales; Poaceae. The record is from RNAcentral.